GCAGACAUAGUUUAGUGGUAAAACAAUAGCUUCCCAAGCUGUGGUCGAGGGUUCGAUUCCCUUUGUCUGCUCCA
This 74-nucleotide transfer RNA is filed under the name Mycoplasmataceae bacterium. RNAcentral describes it as "tRNA-Gly". It matches the Rfam family "tRNA". Rfam says of the family: Transfer RNA (tRNA) molecules are approximately 80 nucleotides in length. Their secondary structure includes four short double-helical elements and three loops (D, anti-codon, and T loops). Lineage: Bacteria; Bacillati; Mycoplasmatota; Mollicutes; Mycoplasmatales; Mycoplasmataceae. The record is from RNAcentral.